RNAcentral lists this ribosomal RNA (293 nucleotides) under uncultured bacterium. RNAcentral's name for it is "partial 16S ribosomal RNA". It matches the Rfam family "Bacterial small subunit ribosomal RNA", at positions 505 to 796 of the family's 1533-position model. The record is from RNAcentral.
GUGUCAGCCGCCGCGGUAAUACGUAGGGUCCGAGCGUUGUCCGGAUUUAUUGGGCGUAAAGAGCUCGUAGGCGGUUCCGUAAGUCAGAUGUGAAAACUCAGGGCUCAACCCGGAGACGCCAUCUGAUACUGCGGUGACUGGAGUCUGGUAGGGGAACACGGAAUUCCUGGUGUAGCGGUGAAAUGCGCAGAUAUCAGGAGGAACACCGAUGGCGAAGGCAGUGUUCUGGGCCAGUACUGACGCUGAGGAGCGAAAGCGUGGGGAGCAAACAGGAUUAGAUACCCUCGUAGUCC